This 249-nucleotide ribosomal RNA is filed under the name uncultured bacterium. RNAcentral describes it as "partial 16S ribosomal RNA". It matches the Rfam family "Bacterial small subunit ribosomal RNA", at positions 355 to 621 of the family's 1533-position model. The record is from RNAcentral.
UGAGGAAUCUUCCACAAUGGGCGAAAGCCUGAUGGAGCGACACCGCGUGAAGGAUGAAGCCUUUGUUGGUGUAAACUUCUUUUCUCUGGGAAGAUAAUGACGGUACCAGAGGAAUAAGGGGCGGCAAACUUCGUGCCAGCAGCCGCGGUAAUACGAAGGCCCCAAGCGUUAUCCGGAAUUACUGGGCGUAAAGCGUCUGUAGGUGGUUUGAACAGUCUUAAGUGAAAGGUCAGGGCUCAACCCUGUACU